UAUGGCCAUACCACCCUAAAUGUGCCCAGUCUUAUCUGAUCUCAGAAACUAAACAGGGGGCCUGGUUAGUACUUGGAUGGAAAAAGUCUGGUUAGCAUCAUUUACACUUUAGUGAAAGGCAAGAAAAAUCCAUGC
Molecule: ribosomal RNA, 135 nt
Filed under: Carlito syrichta (Philippine tarsier)
Lineage: Eukaryota; Metazoa; Chordata; Mammalia; Primates; Tarsiidae
Source: RNAcentral